GACGAACGCUGGCGGCGUGCUUAACACAUGCAAGUCGAACGGAAAGGCCUCUUUCGGGGGGUACUCGAGUGGCGAACGGGUGAGUAACACGUGAGUAACCUGCCCUUGACUUUGGGAUAACUUCAGGAAACUGGGGCUAAUACCGGAUAGGAGCUCCUGCUGCAUGGGGGGGGUGGGAGAGUUUCGGCGGUUUGGGAUUGGCUCGCGGCUUAUCAGCUUGUUGGUGGGGGAGUGGCUUACCAAGGCGUUGACGGGGAGCCGGCCUGGGAGGGUGACCGGCCACCUUGGGGCUGGGAUUCGGCCCAGGCUCCUACGGGGGGCAGCAGUGGGGAAUAUUGCACAAUGGGUGGGAGCCUGAUGCCGCAACGCCGUGUGCGGGAAGACGGCCUUCGGGUUGUAAACCGCUUUCGCUCAUGACGAAGCUUUGUGUGACGGUAGUGGGUAAAGAAGCACCGGCUAACUACGUG
RNAcentral lists this ribosomal RNA (467 nucleotides) under uncultured bacterium. RNAcentral describes it as "partial 16S ribosomal RNA". It matches the Rfam family "Bacterial small subunit ribosomal RNA", at positions 28 to 507 of the family's 1533-position model. The record is from RNAcentral.